UUUUAUUUGUUUAUUUUAUUUAUACCUGCGUUAGGUUAGGUUAUUCUAAUUGAUACAGGAUCAAUUAUUGAUCCAGGAUUGAUAUAGAUCAAAUAUAUUAAAAAGAUGGAGAAAACGAAAAAAGCGGAAAAAUCAUCGAUUGAUCCUCAUAGAGAAUUUUUGGAUAUGGAUACGGAUGAAGAGGACUUUGGUCGACAAGAAAGUCCGGAAACGGAAGAGGAACAUCUUUCUGAACCGGUUAAGCCGGUCAUUGAUGAACAAGACUUAAAUAAAUUGGUACAAUAUGUAAAAGAUCUUACAAUGCUUUCUUCGAUCAAGGACUCCGAUUGGAACGAAAAUUGUCAUACAAUUAUUCGCGAGUACUUCGAGAAUCCAGUUCACGCAUUAUUAAGUAUAUAUUUUGAGAUGGAUACAUUGAGAGCGCGAUUAAAUAUUCCAGAAGAUGACCAAAUUGAAUUCGUAUAUUUUUUGCGGACGCCUUGGCACAUCUUCACUGUCGAUAAUUUUCACGCCAUGGUCAUUUUUGGCAGCAUCAAUCGUAAUGCGAUGAUGUGCGUGUUGAAAGCUAUGGAAAAUAUGUAUGCACCUGCUGCACUCAAUAGUGGUGAAUGGCCAGAGAUUAUCAGGAAUAAUCUGGUGUUCAAUCUACACAACUUUUUAACAUGUUUAACUGAAUCGGUUUACAAACCAAUGGGUUUGACUAAGCUUUAUGUACCGAAAGAAAAUUUGCCUGAUGUCGCAGCACCACCCAGAGAUGAAAAGCCAGAUUUAUCUAAGGAAGAUGGACAAUAUGUUUCUAAUAAAUUGCGAGAAUCGGAAAAGGCACAGAUAGAUAGAUUUGAAGGAAUCGUACGAUAUUGGAUCAAACAGAUACAAGAAGCAUUAGCGAAUACAUCUAAGAACACAACUAAAGGAAUCAUUUUUGACGAGCUGCAACAUUGGACAGCGAUAUAUUUCAAUCUGUGCUGUUUACACGAUCAACUGUCGAGUAAAGAAAUUCAAUCAAUAUUACGUCUGUUGGAGAAUGUUCGUUCUCCGAGUGUAGACUCUUUUCAACUAUUGACGUUACAACUUCACCAAGGAUUAGAACAAGCUGCAUCCAAUAUUGCAUAUCUGAAUGUUUUGUCGGAGGCAUGCAACGAUUUGAAAUGCCCGAAUGAGAUCGAAGAGCCUAUAACGAAAAUAUUGCUUUUGAUACUGUUUAUCUGGACGGAAUCGCCGUUUUAUAAUAUAUCGGACAACAUCGAGAUACUGUGUGAGAUUAUAAGCACUCAAAUAGUGCUUCAAUGUAAGAAUUAUGUCGAUUUACAAGCAAUAUUAGAAGGCGAUGUGGAAAAUGGAAUAAACAUACUUGAGAAAUGUAUUUCUUGCUGCAAAACAUACAGAAUCGUAUACAACAAAGUCACCAGUAUAACUUCGCACAUAAAAACGAAUAGGGAUUGGCAUGUGGAUGAACAAUUAGUAUUUAAACGCAUCAACACGUUUACGCAAAGAUGUUACGAUGUCAUUGAGAUUUGCAACGCUUUAAUCGUAUUUGGAAGGCGUAAUAAAGUGGGAAUGAUCGGCGGUGCAAAGGGUACUGAACACGAAGAUUAUUGCUGCCGAAUAGAGAAUUUAUUUUACGAGAAUCUCGAAAAAGUCAAACUAGUUCGCGAUAACAUUCUGGACGUUACGAAUUCCACAUGGCUAAAAAAUAUGCAGAAGUUUAGAGACUCUGUGACAGAAUUGGAGAAUAUGGUUAUAAGUCUGAUCGAUCGAAUAUUUGAAGAAGUUCAAACUAUUGAGGAGGGUAUUGAGGCUAUUUAUGCUUUGCAACGCUUUAAACAUAGAGAAUCCUUGCGAGAUACGUUAUCAACAAAAUGGGUACAGGUAUGGAAGAUAUUUAGUAAAGAAAUAGAGAGUUGCAGCAAUAGCAUGACUCUACGUGAAGUAUAUCAUCCAUUGCUUCAACAACACUCGGAAAAUGCAAUUAUGCUGUGCCUUAGUAAAUAUUUAGAACGAUUAUUUGACAUGAUGAUUGAUGCGUCUGACUGGAUAGGGGAAUGUGCAGCCGAAAACGGAAGUGACGUUUUCGAACACAGCUUGUUAUGCUAUAGAAAGUGCAAGCAAAACGAACAGAUGUGUAUAGUGCAGUAAUCAUAAUAAACAUAGAAAUUUUGAUAUUAUCAAAAUGAAUUUAGAACUAUUAGAAUCAUUUGGACAAAACUAUCCAGAG
RNA transcript from Nylanderia fulva, 2215 nucleotides. It is a transcript of the gene named retinoblastoma binding protein 5, with no coding region annotated. The record is from RefSeq and is a predicted model, not a curated record. NCBI's taxonomy places the organism in Eukaryota, Metazoa, Arthropoda, Insecta, Hymenoptera, Formicidae.